AAUUUCCCUUGUUUGUAUGGGAGGGAAUUCCAGCACUUCCCCAAAGGAGGGGAGGGGAACCACGCUUCCUGCUGCAGUGAGGGAUUCUUUAGAACUUGGCUCUUGGAUACUAGCAGGGAGAGAACUAUACCCAGACAGUUCUUGGCAGCCCUGCAGGCUUAGGUGUAAGAAACAUUGUGAAGUGAAGUGGUCAUCUACAAAUGUGUUGGGCACAUGGACAGCCAGAGCAUUUGGGAGGCAGAAGGAGGUAGAUCUCUGUGUUCAAGGCCAGCAUGGUCUACAGAGAGAGAGAGUUCCAGGAUAGCCAGGACUACACAGAGAAACCCUAUCUCAAACAAACAAACAAACAAACAAACAAACAAACUUCACACAAUUAAUUUCCACAGAAGAACCAGCAGGAUGUAGUCCAGGAAAAGGGCAGCGGAUAGAUUUGUACCUAGCCCACUCUGAUCCUAGUCCCUUCUGUACUUUGGCUUUCCUGUGUGUGUUGGCUGCGCGUGACCUCAAUGAGAUGGUGUUCAUUAAAGCAGCCUUCAGAGAACUGUCAUGUGCUAAAGGCAGAGCCCCAAUGUGCAUGCCUGUGCCUGGCCACAAUGAGAGUGUGCGCAAAGAGAAGCUGUGGGCUUGGGCAGAACCCCAAAGCCAAUCUAGGUGCUUGUAGAUCAAAGGCCUUCUCUGCACCUCUGAACUAGCUACUGCUCGAGCCUUGGGCCAUUCUGUCGUUUGGCAUUAUUCUCUGUCCCCCAACUGAGGAAACCAGCCUCUGCCAGUGAGACUAGGCCUGUACCCCAGUUUACUUUCUCAUGGAACUUUGGUCGGUCAAGAGCGAUGAGGUUCAGGUCACACACAUCACAGGUAGGCAGACAUAUUCCACACGCAGUUUGAGUUCAUUUUGGCCCUAGGAUCUGUUCAUGUAGUCAAUAUCUAAUAUGUAUGUGUAUAUUUCCUGGCAUGUUCUAAGUGGGCGUAUGAUGGGAAAGCAACAGAGAGAGACAGUACCCCUGUUCUCAGGGGAUCCACAUUCAGUGUGUGUGUGUGUGUGUGUGUGUGUGUGUGUGUGUGUGUGUGUGUGUGUGUGUGUGUGGUGUGCAUGUGUGUGUAGUGUGUGUGUGUGACAGUAGAUAAAAAGACAUACAAGAAAAUGUCAACCAGUGAUGUAUGACUGUAGAAAGGCUGAGUAAGGAAGGGCAGUGACUGGAAGCUUGGGAAAGGUGGGCGCAGACAAGGAGUCAUUGCUUAUGUGGGACAAAUGUUUAGGGUGAGCACAGCUAGUGUCAAGGCUCUGGAGUGGGAAUGAACUGGGAAUGAUAGAGGGAGGCCAGUAGAGCCAAGGUGGGGAAGGACGGAGAUGGUGGAAGGGCCUGAGAAAGGGAGAUGCAGGAGGGACCACUCUGAAGCCACAGAAACUUAAGAGCCACCCAUUCUUGGGCAUGAGAAAUGCUCUAGGAAUAACGUGUAGUACUCUAUGUCUAUUGCUCCCAAGUCUGCCUUUCUGGAAAUCCCUGGAAUAGUGGCCUCCCCCAGUUUCCCACCCUGGCUGCUCCAUUUUACUCCUGGCCAAAUAGGACGACAGAAGUCUCGUAUGGGCUGGGGGUGUAUCUUAACUGUAGAAUGCUUGACUAGCAUACAGGAAGCCUUGGGGUCUAUUUCCGGCAUUGCAUAAAACUGGGUGUGGAGGUUCAUACCUGUAAUCAGACGAUCCUCAAGUCCAUCAGCUCCAUAGCCAGUUCAAGACCAACCUGGGCCACAUGGAAUCUUAUUUAAAUUAUUUGAUUAUUUAUUAUUUGAUUAUUAAAUUUAAUAAUCAAACCAAGGACUUGUCAAAUCGCCAUUGCUAUGCCUGCUCCCUUUAUCUUAUUGUACAAAGAAGCAGUUGGGCAUGUCUUGGGGGGGGGGUUGGUGGCCCAUCAGAACUGACCUUGGUGCCUUGUGACAGCUGAGGAUCUAAAAGCCCUAAAUAAGGACCUGACAGCUUCUACUCCUCUCCAGAAAAGACAGAAGCCCACAUCCCAGUCCAUUCUAGAGGAAGUGGCUCUGAGAGUCCCCAUACUGGCCACUCCCUGUUCUAGAAAGUCCUGGUAGCUGGUUCAGGACAACAGAUGGCCAAGGACAAUUAGGCGAGAAACCUCGAGGCAAGGUGCCAUUUUCUCUGUGCAGUCAUAAUUCUCUCUGUUGCUCCAACUAAGGCUUUUGCCAGAGCCCAGCUUGGAUACAGACCCAGAGGCUCACCCACUAGGCUGGCAGGGGCCUUCCCUUAUUCUUAGGGAUCCUGACUUCCGUCCCAGUACUGAGCUGUUUGCUAUGGAUUAGACAGAGGCUCAGUGUGAAGGCUUAGUUUCCAGAUGUGCUAUUGACAACUAGUCAUGAUGGCCUUACCCUCAGCAAUAGAUCAAUGGGGUCACAGUUGAAUGGGCUGUCAGAAGGGAGGGAGUAGGUCUCUGGGAGAGGGUGACUUUGGGUACAUUUUAUCCCUGUCCCACACCCUUGGACUCCAUGUGGUAAGCACCUCUACCAUGUUUCUGUCUUGUCAUGGUCUCAGAAGCCAUGGGAGCUGUGCUCAAAAACUACAGCUGACCUGAAGACAUCCAAAGUAUCCAUGCCAGGAGCCUGCAGUGGUUCUUCCUGUCCUGUGUGAGCGCUCAUGACACUGCACAGGAGAUGGGCAAUCAGAGACACCACUGUUCAAACCACAACUGUCCACAGGACAAAUAACGGCACCUUCCGUGGGGUGCAGCCAACCGGCAUGUCAACCUAGAAAGGAUGUGCCCUGCACGGAAAGCACCUGACUGAAAUCAGCUUGAAAUCCUGUGUGGGCACCUAUGUUCACUUGUAAUAUGGAAGGACAGGACUUAUGAACCUGUCAGGAGUGAUCCAGAAAUCUUCAGGGUUCAAGGUGGAGCCGCUGCCUCUCUGCUCCUUGCUUUUCUUCUCUUUAGAAGUUGACGGGCAGAAUUCUCACUCAGCCCCAUAGUGGGCUGGGGGGACCGAAGGAGACUGCCACGCCUCCCUGCCGCACUCAGCCCUGGUGCCUGCUAUCUAGUUUACUUCAGUCCAGUAGCAUCAAAAGCAAUUCAGCUGGGCCUGCAAACAUCAGAGAAGUUUCCACAGCAACUCGAAACUUCUCCCUUGGCCCUGUGUUUUGGAGUCUCAAUCUCCAAAGAAGCCCACUGAACAGUCCCUGGAUCAAAGUGGCCGCCUCUCUGGCUACUCUGGACAUAUUCUGCUGAAAGGACCUUGGGGGACACGGCGGGGCGGGAGGGGGGGAGGAGCUCGCUGGCGGUAGAGCUUGCCACGGAGCCCACAGAGAGAUUGUAAAUUGGUGAAGAGUUGCCUUUCCAAGUUUGAACUGGGAAAUUUUUACCCUGGAGGAAGGGAUUUCAAGCGUGAACGCAGGAAGUGGAGCAGGGCAACAAGAACCAAGAGUCCUUUUUUUUUUUUUUUUUCCUGAAAGCUGGCUCUGAACCUGCUGCCACUGGUUUAGUGAAUUUGGUCUCUAAGAGUGAUCUUACCCUUAUUUUAGUUUUCUUGUUGUGAGAAAAGCUAGGAUAUAGUCUCAUGCUCUCUCUCUCUCUCUCUCUCUCUCUCUCUCUCUCUCUCUCUCUCUCUCUCUCUCUCUCUCUCUCUGCUUAUGGGCAUGUUGAGAAGAUCAUAGUAAGCCAUAUAAUUUCAGAAUGCCCAUGUUGGUAGAGAGCAACACUUCUAGAAUUUGAAUUUCAGAGAAGCAAUGGAGUUGUUCAGUACAACCGCAUCCAUUUUACGUCUGGAGCUAUUUACAAUAAAGUCUUCCUAUGAGGUUCAAAUCGCACCAGGGUCCAGACUUUUCUUCGUUUGUUUUGUUGUUUUAUAGCGUAGUGCUCCUUGGUAGCGGUAGUGGAUUGGAGGUUUUCUGCCCCCUGGUGGCUAACGAAGUAUACACCACUUGGGGUAGUACCCUGUAAUUUACACUGCAGGAGAGAAAGAAGCCUUUUUUCCUAUGGUGAAAGUAAAACUUGCCAGGGAGACAUUUUUCAGAGGACGAUAAAUAGCUUUUCAGGUAUGAGUAAGCAUACGUUAUAUCACAGAGAGAGUCCUUCCAGGCACAGAGAGAGAGAGGUUAUGAGUAUCUGGUGCCAACCUUGAUACCAACCCUGGAUCCGUGGCUGGCUGACUUUCAGCUAGCCCUCCUCAAUCUCUAAAGCGGGGCAUUGUUCUGAUGAACAGAGGGCACAGGACAUGGAAACCUCGGGGCCCAGUCGGGCCACCUGCCAAAGUGGCAGCUACUAUCUCAAUACCACACGUGACUGCAUCAGAGUUCCCAAUCAAGUGAAAAAGAUUGGAAAUUCAUUAGGAAGCAAACGAACAGGUCAGCUCUCCUGGGGGGGGGGGGGCGAGAAAGCAGCUCUUCCAGUGUGACUAGUAGAUGGUUGUGGCAAGGAGGAUUAUGGGGCAAACUUUUGAUUCUUGCAUUCGUUGAUUAGCUGUGGCUGUGCACAUGGCUGUUAUGGUUGCUUUUGUUGGAGACAGGGUCUUGACACGUCACAUGGGCUGGCCUGGAAGUCGCUAAGCAGCCCAGACUGGCCUUAGGCUUGCAACGAUUCUCCUGAGUGGCACUAUAGGCCUCCGUGUUUUUCUAGUAGUGUACUCUUGGGUGAGGCUCAAGGCUGCUGUCCAAGGAUACAGCUGCUCUCUCCCAUUGCAUACUGUAUUCUCCUGGGGACAUCCAAAGGGCACCUCACUCCCGUUCUCCUGUUUUUCCUUGUGUUGGACAGUAGGGGGAGCAAUUCCUGAGUUCAUGGCUGUAGAUUUGAAUCUCAGCGUCACCCUUAACUGUGUCUGUGUUGUCUUAGACAAAUCGUGCUACUAUCUGAGUUCCAGUUUCCUCAUUUUCCAACAGGAGUGGGUAUUGCUUACAUCUCUAGGAGGAAGAAGUCAUACCUGCUCUAACUAUCAACACAUCCUGUGUCCCCCACAGGGCGGAGUGCUUAGUAGAGGCCAAUAAACAUCAGAUGGAGGAGUACAGGAGUGAACUGGGUUGGCCAGAUGACAGGGACGGUGACAGUAGUGGAUGGCCAGACGUGUUGCCAUUGUUUCUGUCCUAGGGAGACAGGCUGACUUUGGAGAAGUAACCCCGAGUCUCAAAGUGUUUUCUCCCUCAGAGAAGGGCAGAAAGAUGCUUUAGCAGACUGUGGGUGGCUGCUGCAGCUCUCUGGGGCUAUCUGCUUACUAAGAGGAUGUUUAGCGGGUCCUGCUAGAAUUGUGGCGGUAGAACUGGACACUGUUUCUAUUGAGUGCUUCAUAUGUAAAUACCUAAUCCUUAAGGAGGCCUCUGACUACGUGGGGUGGGGGUGGGGGAGAGGACGGACCGCCUGUGACCCCGGAGCUCUGACUUACCUGCUGUAAGCUGAGAAAGGCCAAAUAGCAGUUCCAGCAAGAGACAGUGCAAGGCCUUCCUUUUAGAGAUCGUGCAGCCAGCUUUUAUGUGAAAGUUAACCUCAACAUUGAGAACUGAAAUCUGAUUCCUUGAUUAGGGGUUGCUGGCUCGACGACACGGUUGAGUUAGACCCUACCCCCAAGAAGGUGCUGUUGGUUCUGAAACCUUAGCCAGGUAUUGUCUGGGGGCUUAAGGCAACCCUUGUUCAAACUGCUAACUAAUUUGGUGGGCGUUGUCUCUCGCGGCAGGGGAGGGGCACGGCAACCCUGAGCUCUAGGCACCCUGGGGACCUAGGCAGGCGUCGCCACCGCAAAAUGCGUUGCCGACCCAGCCACCUUAGUACUUCUGGCUUCAUAGGACUGACCACUAGCUGAGACCCGCUUCUUGCCCAAGGCAAAAGGCAGUUGGGCAGGGGGCCAAGUCCCUUUAUAUUUUCGAAUCACUUCCCCAGGAGGGCAAUUUUCACCAUCCCCCAAACCCUGACCAGUAGUUUAGUUUCUGAAGGAAAGAAACACCUUAAGCCCCCAUUGAAGGCAUUUUCUCCCUCUGUAUCUAUAUCGCGAUAUUUUUCCAAAUUAUUUUAGCGGACCAUAUAUUCAUUUAUUUUAUUAUUUGGAUAAAAGACUUCCAAAGUGUGCCUAUUAGAAAAUACAAUGCUUAUCUGCGCAUAAGCAAGCAAAAAGUUAGAGACGAACACCUGCCAUUAACAAAAUUCAAAAGUCCGCUGUAUGUCUCCUUCCCAGUUGUGUCCACAGUCAGCAAAUGCUUUCUGAGCUGCCUGGAGCACGCCGUUCCCUCAUCAUAGGCAACCACCCACGGGACAACCAGGGUCCCUGGUCCGUGGUGGGCUGGGCUCAUGAAUUUUCUUCAUCCACCCCCCACCGGACUUUCCCCUUCUUUCAGACCUAUCAACCACCCUCGCUGCGUGCUGAAAGCUCUUGGAUUGGGGACCCUGCCUGGCAUCAGCCCUGGCAGGGACCUCGCGGGAUCUCUGCAGGCAGGACACGUAGUGUUGUCAGAAGUUUGUACUUGUGCACGCGCAUGCGUUUCCGCACUUAGGAAGAGGGCAUGGAUGAAAGAGGAGAGAGAAGAAACGGAAGGACAAGAACAAGCAGUGAUGAAGAAACGUCAAAGCCUUGAGAGAUGUGAAGGAAGAAACCUGGCGCCAAGGAAGGAAGGACCAGGGGCACUGCUGUCUGCAGAGGGUGGUGGUGAAGUUCCCUCUUACCUGACCUGAGCAGCACCGCUCGGUAGAGCCCGGUGGCCUUAGCGGGCGGUUUGGCCCACUCGCUGAGCUUCUGCGCCAUGCCCUGCGCUGUGAAUUCCCACCGCCGAGCCUGGACUGAGGGCUUGUGCAGCGUCUCACUCGGUGAUAGUGACGCGCCCGGCUGCUCCACCCGCCGGAGAUCUGGUUACUGUGGGCUGUGUGAGACCCAGCCUGCUUCCCAGAUCUGCGUAGGGUGUGCGGCCGUGUGGGAGGGCCAAGGGGGCACAGGCAGUCUCUGUGCCCAGGGACGCGGGAGGGUGUCCGGACACUCUUGCAGCAUCACACAGAGUGCUGCCAGCAUGGCCUCCUGCCCACCUCGCCCGGUUCUUGGCCACCGGACUCUGUGAGAGCUGCAAGCAGGUAUGGGAUUAGGAAGUGCCAUUCCUGGGAUCUGUUCCCAGCUGAGCUGGUGAAGAGAGGCCCAGGGUCCUCAUCUGAGAUGCGCAGAGAUCCACGGUUCUUCACUCACCGGUUACACGGUGAGGCUUGGCAGGUGUAAGAGGAGGUGCUUAGAACCUGGCGGGUUCAGAGCAGACGCCAUGCACCAUACUUUCAAAGAUGACUUGUGAUGUGAGGAUGUUUCUCACCUGGUAGAGUGCUCAUGUGAAGCCCUGGGUUCGAGACCCAGCAUUGCAUAAAACCCCGGGAUGGCGGUGCACACCUGUUACCCUAGAAUUUAAGAAGCGGAGGUAAGGGCUGGAGAGAUGGCUCAGCGGUUAAGAGCACCCGACUACUCUUCCAGAGGUCCUGAGUUCAAUUCCCAGGUGGCUCACAACCAUCUGUAAAGAGAUCCGAUAUCUCUUCUGGUGUAUCUGAAGACAGCUACAGUGUACUUAUAUAUAAUACAUGAAUAAAUAUUAAAAAAAAAAGAAGCGGAGGUAAGAGGAUCAGGAGUUCAAGGUCUUCCCCAGUCUGAGGCCAGACUGGGCUACAAGAGAGGUGUCUCAAAACACAGUCAAGUAAACAAACACACCUCAAAGAUUUGAGGGGUGCUGUGAAGCUGGGACAUUGCUGGGGUAGAGAAAAGUGACUAGGACUCUUCGAGUCCGAACUGAUUUCUUUUGGCUUUGUGAUAUCUCUUAAACAGCCAGAGAAGACCAAUGGAAGGGUCGAUGGGGCAAAAUCCACCAUGCGGUUGUGGAAUAUUUGAGAUGUCCACAGCCUUGGUUACCCACUCUGCCAGCACUGGGCUGCUGGCAGAUAAAACAAGGUGUAAUCUGGCUCAUUUACUCUUUAUGAAAUUUGGUGUCUUAGCAUUCUGAUUUUACAGAGGAGUGCUUCCCACCUAAGAAGUCCUGAAUUUGGAUUCCCAGAGCCCAUAUAAAGCUGGGUAUAGUGACAAACAUUUGUAGUCCCAGUGCCAGGGAGGUAGAGACAGAUUUGUGGGUCUGGCUGGCCAGUGAGUCUAAUCGACGUAGUGAGCUCCAGACUCAGGGAGACAUCCCCGAGGAUAUAGCUCAACUGGUAACGGCCAGCAGGGACUCACUCAGUGGAAGGAGAUAGUCAACCCAUGCAGGUUGUCCUUUGACAUCCGCACGUGACCUCCACAAACAUGACACUUCCCUCCCCUAAAAAAAAUCACUGGGUUUUUGGCCACAGAGAGGACUGACUGGUAAGGGUGAAAGUCUUCCCUGAGGAAAUCACUAUGAUGUUUUGAACGUGUGCGUAUUUACAAGAAAAAUGCUCCUUUAAAGAGUUACUUAUGGGGUUGGGGAUUUAACUCAGUGGUAGAGCGCUUGCCUAGCAAGCGCAAGGCCCUGGGUUCGGUCCCCAGCUCUGAAAAAAAGAAUAGGAAAAAAAAAAAAAGAGUUACUUAUUGGGCUAGAGAGAUGGCUUAGUGGUUAAGAGCACUGACUGCUCUUCCUAAGGUCCUGAGUUCAAAUCCCAGCAACCACAUGGUGGCUCACAACCAUCUGUAAUGGGAUCUGAUGCCCUCUUCUGGUGUGUCUGAAGACAGCUACAGUGUACUUAUUAUAUAAUAAAUAAAUCUUUUUUAAAAAGUUAUUUACCUUUGUUUAUGUGUAGUGGGUGCUUGUGGAGGUCAGUUCCCUUGGAGUUAUAGACCAACGUGAAUCAUCCCAUGUGAGUGGUAGGAACCGAACACAGGUCCUCUGCAAGAAUAACGACUGUUCUUAAUCUGAGUCAUUUCCCAGCCCCUACUUAUGUUUCCUAAACGACAACGAUGAUGAUGGUAAUGACGACAACAACAACAACUCAGAUGUGUUAGCUUUUUUUUUCUUUUCUUUUUUUUCUUUCUUCUUUCUUCUUCUUCUUCUUUUUUUUUUUUUUUUUUUUUUUUUUGCUAACCCAAGGCAAACAAUUGAAAGCAGGGAGGAUUGAUUUUGGCUCACAGUUUCAGGGACACAGUCUACAGUCCUCUGGCACCAUCUUGUUUAAUAAGGCUGAGUAUCCUGGGGGGGGGGAGUAUAUAAUACAGCAAAAUUUGGUCUUGUGACUGUCGGGAAGCAGAAAGACCAGCCACCAAUGACUCUAGGACACACCCCCAAUGAGCCACUUGAUCCCACAUUUUGCACCCUCCAUUCCAGAAAUGCCACCAAAUUAUGACUUCAUCAAUAGACCAAUCCACCCAUGAAGUGAGUCCUGGUGACCUAACCGCCUCGCCAAAGCCUCACACUGACUGUUAUGACCACUGGGAGCAAGCUUUGCACACAAACGCUUUUGCAGAGGUGUAGGGGGACCCUUCAUAUUUAGAAGAAAGUUAAGUCAGUACAAAGAGUUUCUUGUAUUCCACACCCAGUGCCCCUGUCCUUAACAUCAUAAUGUAUGUAGGGCAGGCAAGAAAGGAACACGCAGCCAGGCUUGAGGACCUGAGUUCAAUCCCCGGGACCCACAUGACUCCUACCAGUUGCCAUAUGAUCUCUACCAACAUGCUCUGGCAUGCACACCCUCCCACAAAUAAAUAAGUAAAUAGUAAGUGUAACCAAGUGUACACGGAUGAGUGUAUGUGCCGUAGAAGGUUACUUGAAACACAUGAACCAAGUCGAUAUACUUUUGCUAACUGAUUCAUCCUUUAUUCAUAGGUCUGUUAUUCUUACCGAAUGCCCUUCUCCGUCCUGGGACCAUCUCCAGGAUUCCACAUAGUCUGCUGUGUUGUUGUGCCCCUUAGGCUCUCUUGCCUGUGACCGUCACAGUUUUUAGUUAUUGUGUAGUUCCACAGACAAAUCAAGGGAGGCUGCCUGUUCCUUGUGUGGCACUGCGGGAUGGAUAAGAGGGGCUGGGGUCCCCAGGGGCUUCCCAUUUUGAGCAUUGCCACCAAAGACAGAGAAGAGGGACAGUGUCGGGGACCAGUCAGGCUUCCUUUUGUUUGCCUUCACAAAGGGAUUGAGGGCACAGGUAACGUCAUCCGUGGAAGGAAAUCCGGGGACAUAGAAAAGGGACCUACUCCAGAGAGUUGGAAGGACUCACGAGCUUUUCUCCUGUGUCUCCCCACAUAGAGCUGGGAAGCUGACUAGAACUCACACACAGCUCUACAUUACAAAGACAGUGAAGUCCCCAGACCCGAGUUAAAAAAAAAUGCCCUUCGCACACACACCUGCCAAGCUUUAAAAAUGGAGAGCCCAUCAGGAAUAAAGCUAACUAGUGCCCCAUGGAGCAAGGUGGCUGGGGCUGGCGGUGGUGCGGUGCCCCUUUGCUGAGAGGGCUUGGUGGAUGAGUGGGUUCUUCACUCUAAGGUACUGACAGAGCAAGGAAGCUCAGAAAAGCCAGCUGGGUCUUCGCUGAUGCAGUCCUGUAACUCACAGCCUUCUCCCGGGACUGUGCCAAUUCACACAGCCAUUAACCACUGGCAGACUGGCAGGUGCCAGUUCCACCCAUGAUCCUCAGAGGUCCUUCUUUUGCCAGGUGGAUUGACAUUUUUUGAGAAUGUUAUAAUUCUGAUUUCUUUAAAAAAAAACUGCGGAAAUGUAAGAGUGUGGUUUCGUUUUAAUCCCAGGGGCUGGGGUGCGGGGCUGCUCCGGACUUUCUGCAGCAGCUGGCUGUGAUUUGCCUCGUGCCCUAGUAGACGUGUGGUUCUGCAGCCUGCAGAUAUCUUCUGUGAUUGUGUGACAUUUGGAAUUCGAGGAUCUUUCCACAGGGUACAUAAAUGCUAGGGACCCUGAGAGGCAGGGUGGUUGCUUGUUGGUCAUUUAGGGAGGUUGGUUUGUUGGCAAUCGUUUGUCAAAGAAGAAACAAAAGGAAAGAAAUUAGAUUCAGGGAUUCCCUACCCCUUCCUCUUUCCUAUCCAGUAUUAGGAGGGUGAAACCUGGGGAGUAAAGGGUGGGGAAAAGAAGAACCCAUAAAGUAGCAAAGACCAGCUACAGCCAGGCAUGUAAAAUACCAAAACACUGCUGACCACAGCUCUUCCUCAGUUGAGGCCAUUUGUGUCCCUCCUGUACCUCCUGAGGCCACCCUCUGCCUCCUUUCCAUCCCCUGGUUGCUGAGAUUCUCUAGGAGCUGGUAGCUGGUGACCUCAAUGGUCCUGUCCCUUAAACUCCCCCUUUUCUAUUGUGCCACAUUGUGUCUCCUACAGGCUAAUGUCUCAGUACAACAGUGUCAUAGUUAUCAGACAGACAUCCAAAAUUCGGCCCCGUAGACUUGCCCCACAGCAAGUGACACUUGGGAAACUUUGGUUUAUUUUGUCUUGUCUUUUUUCUCUUUUGAAACAUGGCUGGCCUAGGUAGCCCUGGCUGGCCUGAAACUCUCUACGGAGAACUCACAGAGAUCCACCUGCUUCUGCUCCUGGGUACUGAGAUUAAAGGUGGGCACCACCACACCCAACAUUUGCUUUGGUUUUAAGUAUCUAAAAAUUGAGGUUCAGCACAUGUCCACAGAGGAGUGAAUUUUGAGUGCUACCUCGGUGGAUUUCUGUGUGCGCUCACUUAUAACCACUUCCGGAUUGGGAUGUAAAACAGGCCCUUCCCAGGCAACACUUACUGUCUGCUCCGGGAGAUGUAAUUCUGCCCUCUGUGGCCUUGAGUCUUUGGCUCUGGCAGUAAGUAUAAACACAUUUGGGUUUGGGUCCGGGACCGGGGGCUCAGUUGGUAGAGUGCUUGCUCAGCAUGCAUGGAGCUCUGAGUUUGGUCUCCAGCACCAUGCGAACUUGGCUUAGUGAUGCACACUUGUAAUGCCUGUACUCUGGAGAUAGAGACUGGAGGAUCAGCAGUUCAAAGUCGUCUUCAAGAUCAGCCAUGGCUACAUGAGUCACUAUUUAAAAGAAAAAAAAAUGAACAGUACAAUUUGCUGUUUGGGUUAGCUUUUUUUCUUGAUAGUUUGAGUGUGUGGUUGUUUCUGGUCCAUUCCUCUUUGCUGCUGCGUGGCUUUCUAGUUUAUAUAGUAACUAUUCUGUGGCUUUUGGACAGCGCUAAAAACAUCCACUACGAACUUCCUUGUACGGUGGCCGGUUGAGGGCACUCAUUGGUCAUGUGACACCUGACUGAGGCGCUAUUGGCCGGUAAGGGAGGGGAGACACUGCCAAGGGUGUUUGCGGCUGUUUAUGUAGGCCGUGCUCUGACAUCUUCAUCAGAUGAUGGCCACGAGCCCCACUCACCCAGCCAGCGUGGCAGACGGAUGGUUUUCCUGUUGAAGUUGGUAUAGCUGCGGAGGAAGAUCCACAUGGUAACCACGGUGAAAAUGAAAGCCACAACACGAAUCAGACCUGCAGGCCACAUGCACUCCCACCUCCCCCAGGACCCUGUAAUCCCAGAACAAGACACUCUCUGAACGGUGAAUGGGCAGUGGAGUGCCCAGAUCUCCACUGAGCAGCUGGAGAGGAGUGAAGACAUCUGCUCACACAGCCCUUCCCUUGCCCUCAAUUGGCUGAGUGAGCAGGGGCAACUUCAAGGACCAGGCAUCCUCAGGGUCACUGCCUACUUCACUCGCCGUCUUCUCUGUGACUCUUCUGAUGGACUGUGAACUUCCCGAGAUAGCAGUUUGUCAUUCCUAAAAGCCUGGUGGCUUGCACAGUACCUAGGGUACAACAGGUGCUGAACCCUGACAAGAGCACCGACCUGUGAGUUUUCCUGCUCCCUGCCAGCUCCGUGGCCGGUGCUGGACACUGUUGACUAGGUUAAUUCACACCAGUCAAGCCUCCAGGAAUUUGUGAAUGUCCCCAUUACUCUUUUGAAAAGGAAUAAACCAAAACAUGAAUCCCAACAAUAAAUAGAAUAAAUACAUGGAUUGCUUUUAUCUAUGGU
This is a non-coding RNA of Rattus norvegicus (Norway rat), 12868 nucleotides long. Lineage: Eukaryota; Metazoa; Chordata; Mammalia; Rodentia; Muridae. The record is from RefSeq and is a predicted model, not a curated record.